Molecule: long non-coding RNA, 1818 nt
Filed under: Amphibalanus amphitrite
Lineage: Eukaryota; Metazoa; Arthropoda; Thecostraca; Balanomorpha; Balanidae
Description: uncharacterized LOC122379930
Source: RNAcentral
GGCGCCCAUUCGUCGAGAGCGCCGUCGGGAAGCCGGCUGAGCACCACUGAUUAGAAAAUCGAUCGCCGCCAGCGUACUGCAGAAACCACGGCUGGCGGAGCGCCAGACACCCAGUCACGUGACGCGACAGAAAUAGCCGCAGCAAAAGCGGCUUCGCGCCGCAGUGCGCCCAGGGGGCUGUCAUCCCGAGCUUUCCUAUUUGCCGGGCACCCGGAUCUUUAACAUUACCCGUGACGUCAGCGGACCGGACACUUCUCAGCUGGCCUUCCCCGCAAAUUUGGCCUUGAAUUCGAUUUUGAGGGUCACGGACUCACGGUUGUAAACAAGUUCAUUUCCUGUUUCUUGCUUGUGUUGUACCUUGGUUGUACCCUCGAGUUGAUUGUUUGAAACCAUUGAAACUUAAAUUGAUUGAAUGAUUCAGGACUUGAUUCAGGAUGUCGUACUGUGCGGUGGCUACAUGCCGAAGUUACCGAAGGACUGGCAAGUUCUGCACAAAAUCGUUUUUUUCGGUUCCCGAAGGAUCCAGCCACAUGUGCGACCUGGGUGCAUAGAUGUUCGAGGCAGGAUCCUAUAAAUGUGUUGCAGGCAAGGACUUGCUCAGACCACUUUCUUGAUUCAGAUUAUGAUCCUUCCUACCUUGUGAAAGCAUCCCUGAUGCCAGGUGUGAGCCCAUGUCUGAAGACUGAUGCGGUUCCAACACAGAAUCUGCGCAGUGCUGGGUCUUCGGGACCGGCGCAACAAAGCACUCGGGCUUCAAGGAGUGAUCGCCGACAGAUGAAGUCCCUUGCGCAGGACAUCAUCAACACUGAGGGAGUGUCCUCAUCUCUGAGUGAUAGAUCAAGGUAAAUCGGCAGGAAGCAGCUGAAUCAGAUGGAGAACGCACUGCGUCUGCCGGCGGCGUCCAGUGCCGACAUCUUUACCCCGGCAUCACUCGCCAGUGUGGAGAGCGCCGUCACUUUCUGUCUUCUGAGGCUGUCAGACAGUUCAGCCGGGCAGCGAGCAGCUCCCGGCGCACCAUCACUGGGAGCCAGGCCGGCCUACGCGAGGAGCGGAUCACUUGUGCUUACGACUUCGUCCUGGCGCUGGUUUAGUGAGCGGAUCCGAAGGUGGACCCGCGUCGUCACCAGCUUCCUCGCGAUCCUGGCGUCCAGAGAUGGACGCUUUACCUGGAGUGCCGCCAGCAGCCUCUGCACGAUACCGGACUGACCGUCGACGGUAGCACCCAUCAUCAACCGGAAGAUGACCUCGAACUCUUCCACGAUGGUCAUCCAGUUCGGCGAUGGCACGGUGAGCCUACCCCGGCUGAGGGCGCGGACCCAGGGCGUGAUCACGCGAGCUGCCGGCUUGGCCUCUCUGGACGCGCGCAGUGCUGACCCCUGUUGAACAGUAAUUUUGGUUCAUUCAUUUUGUGCGGAUUCGUGGUUGCGUGGUUGACAGUCGCUUUUGCUCAUUCAUCUUGUGCCGACUCGUGGUUGCGUUAACCAUUCGUGAUUGCGUUGUGCCGACUCGUGGUUGCGUUAUCCAUUCGUGGUUGCGUUAACCAUUCGUGAUUGCGUUGUGCCGACUCGUGGUUGCGUUAACCAUUCGUGGUUGCGUUAACCAUUCGUGAUUGCGUUGUGCCGACUCGUGGUUGCGUUAACCAUUCGUGAUUGCGUUGUGCCGACUCGUGGUUGCGUUACCCAUCGUCUGUGUGCCCGUGUGUGCGGGGACACGGACCACAUGUGCUCCCUCACUGGAUGGAUAUUGGAUAGACAUGCGCGAGCAGUGUUGGGGUCGUUUUGUUUCCUGUCAUGGAAUACAUCUGUUGGUGGUUCUUAA